UCAGCAUUUUCUGACAAAGAGCUUCUUCUACUAGUUUCUGCUAAUACAUCAUGCAUGAUUGGCAUAUAAUCAAAUGCCUGCUACAGGGGCACUUGAAAGAAAAAGCCUUGUAGAAGAAAACAGUUUCCAAAUGCUGAUUUAAUAUUACAGCUCGGUGACAGCAUGAGUCAUAACAACAGGGAUUGUGAUAUUAUCAAGAAAACAUUAUGCUGUUAUGAAGCUCCUUUGUUUGUUGGCACACAGUAGGUGAACACAGCAAAGCAGGUGUCCACGGCAGAACCUGUGGUCGCUAUAUCCAAUCCUAACCCUGAUAUUGCAGUAGCUCUUCCAUAAUGCCCAACUCCUGUAAGCUUUCACUGAGAACUUUGUCAUUUGCAAUGUAGUACAGCAUGUGCGAUCAUUGCUGGGUCUUUACACAAAAGCAAGUUGCAGACAAAAUAGAAGGUUUCCCACAAGGAAAGGAAUCACACAACACAUGCACACAAUCUGAAAGAACAUUAUGGAGGGAAGACUUACAGAUCACCUAAGGCUAACUCACGAGAAAAAUAUGAAAUAAAGUUGAGAGCAUGAGAUCUGCGUCUGGUGCGCUGAAGUGGCAAACAUUAUGGGUAUGAGGGAGGAGUUUGAGAGUUGGAUCCAAGCCUGUGAUAUGUGGCCAAGCUGUCUCCGAAGGCCAGAUCCAAGACCCCAUCGUGAGGAAGAAUGAAGAAGACAACAUCAGCUCAUCUAAUUAAUAAGGAAACAUUUUAGAGCAGUGCUGCUUUAAAACAUCAACUGUCAAAUAUUGUUAUCCAAACAUAGCUGCAUCAA
Molecule: long non-coding RNA, 810 nt
Organism: Protopterus annectens (West African lungfish)
Lineage: Eukaryota; Metazoa; Chordata; Ceratodontiformes; Protopteridae
Exons: 4
Source: RefSeq, a predicted model, not a curated record